Long non-coding RNA from Equus caballus (horse), 4057 nucleotides. The record is from Ensembl. Lineage: Eukaryota; Metazoa; Chordata; Mammalia; Perissodactyla; Equidae.
CAGCCGAGACCUCUCUCUGGGCAGCAGCAAGGCCACACCCCCUCCCUCAUUCCCAGGACAGGACAGCAUCAGUGUCAGGAAGCCUUUGCUGAACACGUGAUUGAGUGUGACGGCAGGGGAGGAAUGUGACAAGUGGGCAGAUCCCAGAGGCUCUGCCUGUGAGGGUCAGCUCAGCCCGCAUUUCUCAGGGGCCCACAGGGGAGAUGCUGCUCUGGCGGCGCCUCCAAACCCCGGUCUUGUUCCCUCUAGAUAAGGUUCUGACGUUGCUCCCAGCGGCAGCUGGAGGCCACCCUCAGCAUCCAUCCCCAGGUCCGGACCAGCCAGCUGGCCCACUGAUGUCCUGUGCUGGUCACUGGGGAGGAAAGAUGUCCCAGCCUUGAGGUCUGGACUCAGCCCCUGAAGAGGACGCUCAUCCAGAGUCCCAGGCUGCAGAGCCACAGCCCUCAGGGUCCCAUGGGAGUCGGGCCCUGCCUGCCAGUGCCUCCUCCGAACGGCAGAGCCACAGCUCCUUGUGUCUCCACUCCUGUUCCACCCCUUCUGGAUCCCGCACCCGAGGCCAUCCCUGCCAGCCAGACGAACGUCAGGAGCCAUCUGCUGCCUGAGCCAGCGCAGCUGCUGGGAACGUGCUUGCGUCCAUGUUCUGUCCCCACUGACCGUCCACCCCUGGAGGGAGGCGUGGCCCCGUGACCGGCUUUGGCCAGUGGAUUUGACAGGUGAGAGGGGCCACAUCCCCGUGAAAGCAUCCGAGAACCGGUGUCUUCAUCUUCCCUUCCCCUGUGGCCUCCAGAGGUUGGGUCCCCAAAUGAGGCUGGCGUGGAGCAGAGCCCAGCCCGUGAUGGACAGGGAGUGAGAGUGACAGCCUUUGUGGGUUUAGGCACAGAUUUGGGGCUGUUUGUCACCACCACAUCGUUCACCCCCUCCUGCUGCCGGGCGCACUGAAGAGCCACACCCCACAAGGGCUGGACUCUCCGCUGAGACGAGUCGUGGGAUUUGGGCACGAAGCUGGCAGUGUGUCACAGAGGCUCGUGACCGGGAGGUGAGAACCUGCCCGCUGGCAGCCGUCCUGCAGCCUCUCAAAGCCCAGCCCUCCCGGCUGGUGUCCACCGAGGCCGCAGAGCCUUUCUGAGAAACACACGUCAGGAUGCAAUCGUGCAACAUGGAGCCGCCUGAAACACCAAGUUCGCGGGUAUGUGUGAGUGUCUUUGUGUCUUCCCUCUCUUUUCCAUCGGAAGAACAUAAGCUCAGGACAGUGACGGCCCUGGAAUGAGAACAGAAUGGGACUGGGAAACUUGUUUCUUCAUUUUCUGUCCCCGCCUCCUUACACCGGUCUCUUUGAAAAGCUGAAGGCAACACCCAAGCGCCUCCAGGACUACAGCUCCACUGGGCAGUCCCCUGCUAAAGCUGUAGCCCUCUCUGGGCUCUGGUACUGCUGUUUUCUCCCCUUGCCCGUUGGGCCUUGAGGGUGUAACAGCGUCUGCUGCGGCCAGCUCCUGAGUGCCUCGGCGUCCCUCGUUGGUUCCCUUGAACUUGUCCACGUCUCUGUAAAUCGUCCUUCACUAAACAGCUUUAAAAGUGAUGGCGCCAGUCACAGUGAUUAGUUGCAGAUGACAGAAUACUCUUUCUGGUUUGAGCAGAGGGGAAUCUGUUCAUGGGUGCUAGGACUGAAAUGCCAGGACUACCAGGAGACCAAGCUUGGAUGCCCCAUGGCCACGGACAACACUAACAGUCACCUGGACAAUCACUAACCCCACCCUUGACUGUUGCCAUGGAAACCCACUGCCUGUGAUGCUCAGGCCCAGACACUGGAGCAUGCUGCUGUGGGAGAACCGGACCCUCUGUUCCCUGCCAGCCAGGAGCCCCAUCCUCUACCGCCUUGGGUGGCUCACUUCCACCUUUUAAAUCUCGGGCAGGCAUCUGUCCAGAGGAGCUGAGGCCACUGGCAGAACCCUGGCUGCAAGAGAGUCAGGGAGAUGCAGGUUUCAGUUUUUCCAGAGACUCCCAUGCAGCCAAGCACAGAAGGAGGGGCUGGCACACAUGUUGAGUGAGUCAGCCCGUAUGGUCCGCCAGAGAAGUCAGAUAAGAGUGACAAAAAUGAUCAUUGCACCCUUGACCUCCCGAAGGCCACGUGAAGCCUCAGUUAUCUACUGUGUUACAAGGAGGACAGUGAGUGGCUCUCUUCGUCCCGGGAGCACUGGUUCUCAGAGCCCAUCGCCCUAGCCUCCUCAGUGCACACUGGCCUUCCAGCCACCAGCACUGUCUGCCUGGGGACUUUCCUUACUGCUGGAGACUCCUUGGCCCCCUUGGUGACAGGCUCAAGUGUGGAAAUCUGCUACCCCCAGGAGCACCUUCAGCUGGUACCCCAGCUGCCUCACCCCUUGGAUGGGAGAGCUCUGGCAGUGUGGUCUGUCCUGGCUGCCAGGGCUCCCUGGUGGACUGGGCUUCUGUUGCCCACAGUGGUAGGUGUCCAAAGUCGAGCCCCACAGUGCUGGGCAGCUUGAUAGUAGCCAUCACUAGCCAACAUCUCUUCCUUCUCUCACUUCCCGACCCUCCUGCCUCUGCCUCCCAGAUAGACUCCCGCUCAACAAUCCUCCUCUCCAGGUCUGCGUCUGGCACCUCACAAGCUGAGGCAUCCAUUGCCUAACCAUGAGGACAUGGAAAGCCUUGUCCCGGCUCUGGAAGUCCUGCUGGGGACAGUCCCUGGGCCAUGAGUUAACAGGUGUGAGGCUGCUGCUGUGACCUUGCACCUACUCACUCCAGUUUGGAAGGUCGUCCUGUUCCUGGUUCUCAUCCUCGUGGGCAGGAACCCAGAGGGCUCCAGGACGCUCUCAGCUGCCCGGUGCCCCACCCAAUGCUGAGGCCAGGACCACGUGUGCACACAGGCAUCAUCCACCCCAGGAUUCUGCCCGACCCUCUCUACCUCUUCUCCCCACAUCAUUCAGUGCUGCUUCAGCCCUGGGAUCGGAGGUGAUACUCCAUGAAGUUCAAGGGCAUCCUCUGCAUGUGCCGCCCUUGGUGUAAAUGGGACUCUGCCGUGUGUUGCUGUUAGUGCCAGCUGUUAGGGCCAGCUUUGUCCUGGGUUCACAGAACCAACAGUCCCCUGGAGCCUGCUCUGCUCGGGGCACGAGGAUGCUGGCUCUGGCGCAUGGGGAUGCGUCCUCUACUACAGAUGUCAGCUGCCCUCCUUCACUGCAGGUCUGCCCCUGAGUAGUCACCAACGGCAUAGCGACAGGGAGCUCACAUUCUCAUGUGACACCUUCAGGCGGGAGGGUGAGAGAAGCAGCUUGAUCAGCUGCUCUCUGCCAGGCGUGUGCCUUUUCUCCUUUCAGCAUCUUGGGGGCUAACUGUUACUAUCAUCCCCAGUGCACAGAUGCGGAAACCGAGGUUCCUACAGGUUGGGUGACUCUGAGGUCCCUUGGGGCUGGGGCCAGGGCUGGGACCAGGGAGGCCUGACUCAGGGCCCGUGCUUGUUCCCUGACAUGUUCCCGCCUCUCAGACACGGGACAUCAGUGAUGGGGCUCCUGGUCUGCUGCAUUGCUGCACCUCGGCCAUUUGUCAAGGAGCCUCUGUGCUGUCGUGGCACUGGGGACCUACAGUGAACCUACACAUCCCUUGUCCUCACGGGGGCUUCCUCCUAACGAAGGCAGAGACGGUGAACAGAUGUAAGUAAGACGGCUUCAGGGGCCCUGAGUGAAGGCUGCCACGCAGGGGACAGUGGACAGUCUCUGAGGAGAGGUCUGUCUCCUGCUGGGGGACGAACAACCCCGAGACUGAGCCCCCACAGCAGCCAAUGUUUAUUGUUUUGGUCUCUGUGGGUCAGGAGCCCAAGGGCAGCACAGCUGGGUGGCUCUGACUCAGGGCUCUCGAGGGGUCAGUCAGGAUGUCGGCAGGCGCUGCAUCGUCCCAGGCUGGAAAUCUAUGUCUCUGCUCCCAUGUGCGACUGGUGGCAGGAGGCGUCGGGUCCUCACCACGUGGGCCUCUCCAUAGGGCUGCUCACAGGCAGGGCAGCUGGCUUCCCGGGGAGAGAUGGAGAUGGAGAUCAAGGUGCACACGUGCACAC